Molecule: ribosomal RNA, 474 nt
Filed under: uncultured bacterium
Lineage: Bacteria
Description: bacterial SSU rRNA
Rfam family: Bacterial small subunit ribosomal RNA
Source: RNAcentral
AGAGUUUGAUCAUGGCUCAGAUUGAACGCUGGCGGCAUGCUUAAUACAUGCAAGUCGAACGGUAACAGAUUCUUCGGAAUGCUGACGAGUGGCGGACGGGUGAGUAAUACAUAGGAAUCUGCCCAUGUAGUGGGGGACAACUUGGGGAAACUCAAGCUAAUACCGCAUAAUUCCUACGGGAUAAAGAGGGCCACUGCUUGCAAGCUCUUGCUACUGGAUGAGCCUAUGUCGGAUUAGUUAGUUGGUAAGGUAAUGGCUUACCAAGACAGCGAUCCGUAGCUGGUUUGAGAGGAUGAUCAGCCACACUGGGACUGAGACACGGCCCAGACUCCUACGGGAGGCAGCAGUAGGGAGUAUUGGACAAUGGGCGCAAGCCUGAUCCAGCAAUGCUGCGUGUGUGAAGAAGGCCUGCGGGUUGUAAAGCACUUUCAAUUGGGAAGAAAGAUUAUGAGUUAAUACCUUAUAAUAUUGACG